AGUGAACGCUGGCGGUAGGCCUAACACAUGCAAGUCGAACGGCAGCACAGUAAGAGCUUGCUCUUACGGGUGGCGAGUGGCGGACGGGUGAGGAAUACAUCGGAAUCUACUUUUUCGUGGGGGAUAACGCAGGGAAACUUACGCUAAUACCGCAUACGACCUACGGGUGAAAGCAGGGGAUCUUCGGACCUUGCGCGAUUGAAUGAGCCGAUGUCGGAUUAGCUAGUUGGCGGGGUAAAGGCCCACCAAGGCGACGAUCCGUAGCUGGUCUGAGAGGAUGAUCAGCCACACUGGAACUGAGACACGGUCCAGACUCCUACGGGAGGCAGCAGUGGGGAAUAUUGGACAAUGGGCGCAAGCCUGAUCCAGCCAUACCGCGUGGGUGAAGAAGGCCUUCGGGUUGUAAAGCCCUUUUGUUGGGAAAGAAAAGCAGCAGGUUAAUACCCCGCUGUUCUGACGGUGCCCAAAGAAUAAGCACCGGCUAACUUCGUG
RNAcentral lists this ribosomal RNA (492 nucleotides) under uncultured bacterium. RNAcentral's name for it is "partial 16S ribosomal RNA". It matches the Rfam family "Bacterial small subunit ribosomal RNA", at positions 29 to 507 of the family's 1533-position model. The record is from RNAcentral.